RNAcentral lists this long non-coding RNA (8343 nucleotides) under Sus scrofa (pig). RNAcentral describes it as "lncRNA (ENSSSCG00005017202.1)". The record is from RNAcentral. Lineage: Eukaryota; Metazoa; Chordata; Mammalia; Artiodactyla; Suidae.
CCGUGUGUGCUGGAUGUCUGCCAGCUGAGUAGUGGUGAACAGGAGGGAAAGACCUUUGAGUGGGAGGAGGGAUGGAAUUGACCAGGUCCUUCACAGAGAGUAGGGUUUAAUAGUCCGCUUGGCAGCCAGUGAGCUGGAGGAGCUCUCCUUCUUCAGAACGGGUGCAGCAAGCCCCAGGAUGGCCGCAUGAACCUGACCUUGCCCUGUCCCUCCUUGGAUUUUAGCUAGGCCAGCCCCUGGGGAACUGGCCUGGUUUUACCCAUGUUUGGAAUGCCCAACGUGCCUGGCCCUCCAGAACCACCAGCCCUUCCUCCCUCUGCCCUGGCAGGACCACGUCCUCAGGCUAGCCACUUGAGAGUUACUACCUCUCCCUGAGGGGGAACCAUGGAGGGCGAUGCUGGUGGGUUUGAGGACAGGUAGCAGCAGUGUUGUGUCUUUCAGUUCAGGGGUCUGAUGUGUCCCCCAAUGUGGCAUUGGUAAGCAGCUGCUUGCUGGUGAGGUCUUGGCCUGCAAGCAUCUGGUGCCCAGCCUCGCCCUCUCUGUUCUUGGGGGCUCAGAUGAGCCUAGCCCUCCCCCCAGUAAAAAAGAGGGAGAGAAGUGUUUUUCAUUCAGGGCAGAGCAACUGAGAGAGAGGAUACUGUGCAGGGGUUAAGAGCACAGGUUAUGGAGUUUGUGUCCUGUAUCAGCCUUAGUUGAGUGAACCCAGGCAAGUUACCUAACCUCUCUGUGCAUUAGUCAGUGUAUCUCUGUAAAGAUUAAGUGAAUUAAUAGGUAUCAAGUUCUUAGAAGGGUGCUUGGCACCUACUAAGUGUGAGAUCCAUGUAGAUGUGACGUCACCACUGGAAGCCAGGUGAGCAGCCGAGCAGGAGGGGAGGAGGGUGGAGGGUUGGGGCGGGUAGGGGUGGGCCUGCCCAGAUGGGACUGGACAGCCGAGGCAGCCAGGGCCCUCCUCACCGCAGCACUCUCCCACUCCUGAAGUAACCUGUUCCUUAGGGCUAGUGAGAGGCUCACGAGACAGCUGUGUGAACGUGUCUUUGUUGAAAAACGCUUACUUUUUCCAGCAAAAUUGCAAAGCUUUUGAGUUCAGUUUGUCCAUCUCUCAGACUCUCACCCCGUGUCUCUUCUCUUCCCACCCUGAUGUUACAGGGCAGUGAGCACCCCAACUGGGGGAAGAGGAGCCCCAGUGACGGAAGCAGUUGCCGCUGGCAUUAGAACCACGGCCUUUCAUCUUCUCUUCCAGCAUUGAAGCGGGAGUGAAGGCAGCUUGCUUCUGGUGGCUGCUCCCCUCCUCCGGGCCCAGGCUGAGGCUCAGCGACUGCCAGGGGCUGGGGGAGCUGUGCACCCGCUGCUCCCAGGGUGUUGCUGCCGCUUGUCACAAGGCUGCUGUGGGUUUUAAGGAGGGACAGGACAGGGUGGAGAGUAGGAUUCAUCCCAGGUUAGGUGGCGGCUGGGUCUCUGCUGUUUGAGCAGUUGCGGGUCUUUGUGGGUGGUAGUUUUCUGGAUUCUUUGUCUGCCAGGCUCGCUCUGCAUCUGGCUGUUGAGCUGGGCAGGGGUGAGUGCUGGGCAGUGGUGGGUGCCAUCAGGCAGCCCCUAGGCCCGCAGGCUUGAGCAACCAGAUGGCAUCCUGAGUCAGCUGCCAUGUCCUGAGAGGGGCCUUUCUGAGAUGCUUCAUGGGUGCCUCCUGCCAACGUGCUUUCUGGAAAGACAUGUCACACAUGAGCUUCUGUCCUUGUCCUAUGGCACUGAGCUCAGAUGGAGUGUGUGACACAGCUCACAGGCCUGACUCACCCGAGUUGAGAGGGAGAUACUCCUCCGGAGCAGGGCCUGCUCAGCUGGGGUCUGGCUGCGGAGCCUGGGGUGUGGGCUGUGUGCUUCUCUGAGCCUAUGCUGUAUUCUCUGCCGUGUGCCCUGAGGAUGGCCUGUGCACGGUCGGCCCACCUCCCUGAUGCUGUGGUCAUUAUUAGGGACCUGGGCUCACACCUUAUCUAUGGUGUGGACCUGUCUGUGUCCUCACCUGGAGCCUCAGCAUCCUGAUUUCUCCAGAGGCACAGACAGUGAAACUCCCAUCAGGGUUGGGACAGUAGCUGAGUGUGCUAGUUGCAGUGACAGCUCAGGCUGAAGUAGUGUCCUGGAAGGGCGGCCCCUGUGGCUUAGUAGUUGCUGAAAUAGAACUCGUGUUCUGGGGCUUUGAAGCCUUAUGUUUAGAUUUACAGUGUGUUGAGCUACAUUAAAGUCACAAACUAGUGUCAUUGCUACCUGUGGUUUUGUGCAAACUUGGAAAGUACAUUACUGUCAAAAUCAGUUACGCAAGCAGGAAGUAGCACUUUUCAGGUUAUUGCUGUCCCAUCAGUUGUGGAGCUGGUAUUUGAGCCAUGGGGGUACUCACCACUGUACUGACAGGACAGCACAGCUGCUGUUUAACAGAGAUCCUAUACAUCGGGUUCCAUCUGCUGACUUCCGUUCUGCCUGAGCAGGAGCCAGAAAUGUUCCCUGCACAGCAUAAACUCCUAGUUGAGGCAGAGGCUGUGUUGUCAUGCUUUUGUCAUUAAGAGCACGCUGAGCCCCACCAUCUGCCCAGGGCUAGGACCCCUGAGCUCUCCAUUUCCAGCAGCAACCUCUACCAUCCUAAUCCUCUCUAGGGCCCAUCUGGUCUUGGCUCUGUCCUGUCCAAGGCCUGUCUGUGACUGGGCCUCUCCAAGCUUCUCCGUGGCCUUCCUGUCUGUGGAACAAAGCUGACUGGCCCUCCUUGGAGUGUCGUGAGGCUCCAGCCGUGUCCUCACUGAGCAUUGUCUUCCCACCGCUGCUUCUUGUUCAGGGCCUGGCAGCUUUUCACAGGCUCCUUUGGGGGUGUACCUAUUGCACAAAGGCACGUGUCUUCCCUAGUAUCCCUUCUUUUCUGCUCUUUUUUGGGAUUUUGAAGGUGCCCUGUGGAAAGGGGUAUGAUAUGCUGUUGGCAAGCCCGCGUCUUAUAUUUCUUAUAUUUCUUUCUCUCUUUCUUUCUUUUUUUGGCUGUGCCUGUGGCCUACAGAAGUUCCUGGGCCAGGGAUCAGACUUGCCCCACAGCAGUGACAACACUGGACUUUUAACCCACUGAGCCAUCGGGGAACUCCUCUUUUUCUUUCUUAACUGGGAUAUAAUGGGUCAGAUCAUUUCUGAAAACUUUGUGUUAACAACUGUAAACAUAUUCAUUUCUAAUUUAAGCCCUGUGAACUUUGAUCAUAUGCUGUCAACAUCAGUGACAUCACUGUCAUGUCUGUGUCCUAUUAUGGAGAACAGAGAAUGUAUGUAUGUUGGUUUCCUGACACACUUAGAUUUUAAGAAGUGUGGUGAGGAGUUCCCUUGUGGCUCAGUGGGUUAAGAACCCAGCAUCACAUCUGUGAGGAUGCAGGUUUGCCCCUGGCCUCACUCAGUUGUUAAGGAUCCAGCGAGUUGCAGCGUGGGUUGCAGAUGUGGCUUGGAUCUGGUGUUGCUGUGGCUGUGGUGUAGGCCAGCAGCUGUAGCUCUCAUUUGACCUUUAUGCCACAUGCGUGGCCCUGAAAAAAAAAAAAAAGAAUUGAGUUGCACAGUUGUGAACAGGUAUAAAACUCACAUUAGUUGAGGACCUACUAGGAGUGCUAGCUCUAAGCACUAUCCAGCCUUGCUUAUAAUUCUCAGCAGGGCCUUACGAGGUCAGUUUCCUAUCAUUUUCAGGUAAGAGGUAGACUCAGAGCUUCAGGUGGUACGAAGGGUGGGGCCAGGGCUGAUCUCAGGCCUGUCCAACUUCGGAGACCUCUGUUCUUCCUGGUCCACUGGUGAUUUGUUGAAGCAAAUAAAUAGCAUUUCUACAUGUAAUGUAUAAAAUGCUGAAGAGGAUGGUUGGGGUUAGAUUGUUUGGUUUUUACUGCCCAUAGGAAGCUUCAGAGUAGAGAACAGGAAAAUCAGCAACGUAAGUCACAGAAAGCAGUCACUUUCAAAGAAAAACUUAAGAAUGAUUUCAGGGUUGCUCUUAGUGCAGACUUAACUGCAGUCAGAGGAUCCCUCGCCUUGCUUCUGUGUGCCUGGCUCAGUGGCCCAUCUUUGCUCUGUGAGGAGCUGGGUUAAUGGCAGUGAGGCUGGGUUAGUCAGGGCCUCCGUGUCUUCCUUGCUGAGAGCCUGGGCUGGCUGAGCGUGGUGGUUCCCUGGGGACCCCUGCCUCAGUGCUCAGUGUUCUCUAGAGGUUCUCGUUCCACGGGUUUGAGGUGGGCCUAGGCAGGAGUGAGUCCCCCAGCCCCAUCCACCUGGGACUGGGCCCUAGCCCACACCCACACCCUGUGAGUCCUCCAGGGUUAGUAACCACUCCAGCCCAGCUUGGUCCCUCUGUGGCCCUUACCAGCAGGGGCUUUCUUCCUCCCGGGGCUCUGUGGGCCUUGCCCAUGGGGACGCCUCUGUUCUCAGCCUCCUUCAGGCUGGUGUCAGGCCUCUCUGCUGCCACCUGCCACCCCUCCCUGCAGCCUGACCUGCAGGUCCCCAGAGCAGCUCCGCCCUCCUAAGCCAGUGCAGCAACGGCGGGGUGGGGGGAGGAUAUGGCCUUCAGUCGGACUUUCUGUAUGUACUCUUUCAGGGCAAGGUGUGCCUUUUUCCUUUAGCAAGUAGGAAAUUACAGCAUGGUGUUAACUAGUACCUCCCUGGAUCCUUCCAUCCAUAGUGUCGAUUUGACUUAGGCAGCUGGGCAGCUGGUUUUUCCUCUGCAUCUAUCUGGAUUGAUCUUUCUUUCUUUCUUUCUUUCCUUCCUUCCUUCCUUCCUUCCUUCCUUCCUUCCUUCUUUCCUUCCUUCCUUCUUUCCUUCCUUCCUUCCUUCCUUCUUUCUUUUCUAGGGCCGCACCUGCGGCAUAUGGAGAUUCCCAGGCUAGGGGGUCUAAUUGGAGCUGUAGCUGCCAGUCUACACCACAGCCAUAGCAACGCAGGAUCCGAGCCGUGUCUGUGACCUAUACCACAGCUCAUGGCAAUGCUGGAUCCUUAACCCACUGAACGAGGCCAGGGGGUUGAACCUGUGUCCUCAUGGAUACUAGUUGGAUUUGUUAACCACUGAGCCACAAUGGGAACUCCUGUCUGGGAACUGCUGUCUGGAUUUCUUAAAGAGGGCCCUGCCUCACGCUAAUUAGGAACCGCUUUUGAAUUGUAAAGGCCCAUUAUAGAGCCUUUACUCCAGGAGGAAAAAAAACAGAGACUUUGUUCAAAUCUUUUCGGAUUUGCUCCUGAGCUGGGGAUGGGUGGUGGGUGUGUUUUACUGGGUCUCGUCCCAGGGGGCCAGCACCCACUUUUGGGCCCAGGCUCUGUCCUGGGCCAGCUCCUACAGGCCCCUCAGGUGGCUUCUGCCCAGAGUGUGGGUGACCAGUUGGGCAGCUCCCUCAGGUGAGGCCCACUCUGGGCUUUGAGGAGCGCAUUGCUUCCCCCUCACUCUCGCCCUGCCUAGGAAGCCCACUCCUCACUGCUGGCUGUGCUUUCCCUGCCCCUCUUGCUCCUCUCACUCUGUGGGCUCUGUGCCAGUCACCCGGAGCAGCUGACUGCUCCUUUCCCAGAGCAGAACUGAAACAGACCUUUGUGGGUGUGUUUUGUAAGCUCCUGUGGUUCUUGGAUUUGGCUUCAUGACUCUAUUCUGGAGCUGGGCCCCUCCUCCGCUGGGCCUUUUCUUCCAUCAUCUGUUUUACGUUCCAGCUCUGAACUGAUGUUGCUUCCUUGGCAUCCUUCCCCUGUCCUUCAUCCUAAGCUAUGAGGGGGCAGUUUUGCUGGAUGGUCUGUCAGGCCUUCAGAUGAACCUGCCUCUUCUCUGAAUGACCCGGAUUAGUCUUCAGUGGAGGCGUGAUUGACAUUUCGGGCUGCACAGUUCUUGUCUGCAGGACUGUCUUGUGCAACUCAGGACUUUUAGCCUCCCAGCCCCUGAGAGUAUCAGUGGUUGUCAGCAGCUGGGGCGGGGUGGUGUCACAGGCCUGGCAUCUAAGGGGUGGGGCUCGGUGCUCUAGUGCAAGGUCCUGCCGGAUGCUGGUUCUGAAUGCUGUGCCACCCUGUUGAGGAACUCUCCGGGACUGCCUGACAUUCCCUGGAGAUUACAGUCUGGCUGGCUGGUUGUUUGUCUUGGUUUCUCUUACUCCUGCCUUAUACCCAGUUUUUAUUGGUUAGAGUUAUGCAAAGGUGCUUGCUGCUUCAUCUUUGCUGAGCCUAACAUGACAGUGAGAUUAACUGUGCUCUGGACUUCCUGAGGCUCCCAGUCUUCUCAGUGGGAGGUGAGGACAGGGAGAUGGUCCUCCUCACACCCUUAUCUCUUGAUAUCUAGGUGUUGGUAGGUGUCCCUGCACCCCUGCCCACAUACCCACUCAGUCUCUGGUUCUUGAGCAAGGUUCACUUUUUUUUACUACUCAUUUCUUCAAAAUUUACCCUUCUGUAUUUAUUACCCAUACAUCAUGUUGUUAGUAUAUGAAUUUCUGAAGCUGUAAAAUGUAUUUAUAGAUUAUUUUAAAAUUUUCUCUGUCCCAUGUAUAUUAUAUCUGUACUCCUCUGUUGUUUUUGCUUCUUUUUCUCCUUUUUUUUCUUUUUCUUUUUAGGGCCGAACCUGCAGCAUAUGGAAGUUCCCAGGUUAGGGGUUGAAUUGGAGCUGUAGUUGCCAGCCUAUGACACAGCCACAGGAAUGCUAGAUCUGAGCUGCAUCUGUGACCUACACUACAGCUCACAGCAAUGCUGGAUCCUUAACCCACUGAGCAGGGCCAGGAAUUGAACCUGCAUCUUCAUGGGUACUAGUUGGGUUCCUAACCAGCCGUGCCACAAUAGGAGCUCCUAUUCUUUUUUUGACUCCAAUUUCAAAAUUCUAUCUGGAAUUUUUUUUCUUGUCUAUAUUUGGUUUAAACAUCUUUUUUUUGUUUUGUUUUGUUUUUUUGCUUUUCAGGGCUCCACCCACAGCAUAUGGAAGUUCCCAGGCUAGGGGUCCAGUCAGAGCUACAGCUGCUGACCUAUGCCACAGCCACAGCAAUGCAGGAUCUGAGCUGUGUCUGUGACCUACACCAUAGCUCAAGGCAACACUGGAUCCUUAACCCACUGAGCAAGGCCCAGGAUAGAAUGCUCAUUCUCAUGGAUACUAGUUCGUUUUGUUUCUGUUGAGCCACAACAGGAACCCCCGGUUUAUUUUAUUUUAUUUUGGUCUUUUUGUCUUUUUAGGGCCGCACCCAAGGUAUAUGGAGGGUCCCAGGCUAGGGGUCUAAUCAGAGCUAUAGCCGCCGUCCUACACCACAGCUACAGCAAUGCCAGAUCCUUAAUCCACUGAGGCCAGGGAUUGAACCUGAAACCUCAUGGUUCCUAGUCAGAUUCGUUCUUGCUGCGCCAUGCCGGGAACUCCAGGAACCCCCUUGGUUUAAAACAUCUUUGUUAGCUUGGUAGGAUUCAGACCAUAAGGGGUGUGGUAUCUUUCUAUUUCUAGCCAAGCAUCUUACUCUGGUGUCUUGCCAAGGACCAGAAGAUCAAAGUACAUAGAGCCCUGCUCAUCCUGAGCCCCUGCUUCCCAUCCAUUUCCUAACACGAUCAUUAAAGCGAGUGUUUAAGCAUGACCCUGUCUUUGGGGUGAUACCAGAGUGGGAGUGUGGGUAUGAGACUUUUCUCUCCCUCCUGAACCUGCUCAGGUGUUAGGAUCCCCAGGUGAGCCUUUGUGAUGAAUCCAGGCAUUAGGAGGCAGGCUGGUAGGCUGAGUAGUCUCUCAGGCUCCAUGCUUUCCCCCUGCAGGCUCUGGAAGAGAGGCCAGGCCACCCCUUCUCCCGCUGCAGGGCUCACAGCUAUGGUUGCCAGCAUUUUCCUAAUGGAAGCUAAGCAUUGCUUUUUUUUUUCCCCGUUUUUUGACACAGCAUAUAGAAGUUCCUGGGCCAGGGAUUAGAUCUGAGCUGCAGUUGUGACCUACGCCGCAGCUGUGGCAACGCCGCCGGGUCCUUAACCCACUGUCCUGGGCUGGGGAUCAAACCCAAGUCCCAGUGUUCAAGACACCACCAAUCCUAUUGUGCCACAGGGGGAACUCCCUAAGCAUUGCUUAGAAAUGGAACUCUUCUUCUCACUGUGCAGCUCUUUAAAAAUCCCCAUUUCUUGGAGUUCCCGUUAUGGUGCAGUGGUUAACGAAUCCUACUGGAACCAUGAGGUUGCGGGUUAGAUGCCCGGCCUUGCUUAGUGGGUUAAGGAUCUGGCGUUGCUGUGAGCUGUGGUGUAGGUCGCAGAUGCGGCUUAGAUUCCACAUUGCUGUGGCUGUGGGGUAGCCCGGCAGCAACAGCUUCGAUUCGAUCCCUAGCCUGGGAACCUCCAUAUGCUGUGGGAGCGGCUCUAGAAAAGGCAAAAAGACAAAAAAAAAAAAAAAAAAAA